Molecule: ribosomal RNA, 487 nt
Filed under: uncultured bacterium
Lineage: Bacteria
Description: bacterial SSU rRNA
Rfam family: Bacterial small subunit ribosomal RNA
Source: RNAcentral
GAUGAACGCUAGCGGGAGGCUUAACACAUGCAAGUCGAGGGGCAGCAUAGGGUAGCAAUACCCUGAUGGCGACCGGCAGACGGGUGAGUAACGCGUAUGUAACCUACCCUGUACAGGGGGAUAACCCGGAGAAAUUCGGACUAAUAUCCCAUAAUAUUAUGAGAGGGCAUCUGAUUAUAAUUAAAGUUCCGGCGGUACGGGAUGGGCAUGCGUAACAUUAGCUAGUUGGUAGGGUAACGGCCUACCAAGGCAUUGAUGUUUAGGGGUCCUGAGAGGGUGGUCCCCCCACACUGGUACUGAGACACGGACCAGACUCCUACGGGAGGCAGCAGUGAGGAAUAUUGGUCAAUGGGCGCAAGCCUGAACCAGCCAUCCCGCGUGCAGGAAGACGGCCCUAUGGGUUGUAAACUGCUUUUCCAGAAGGCGAAACGCUCUGACGUGUCAGGGUUUGACGGUAUUUUGGGAAUAAGCAUCGGCUAACUCCGUG